This 227-nucleotide unclassified non-coding RNA is filed under the name Hevea brasiliensis (rubber tree). The record is from RNAcentral. Lineage: Eukaryota; Viridiplantae; Streptophyta; Magnoliopsida; Malpighiales; Euphorbiaceae.
UUAUUUUAGUUGAUAGGCAAAGAGAUGAAAUGCUGGAUGCCAUUGCUCUACGUGCUCAAGCUUUAAUCUUUCAUUUUAAUCAGAUAGAUGGUCUUUUUAAAGAUAGAGAACAUGUUGCUGUAGACAACUUGCAAAUUGCAUCACUGCUUGCACUUUUAGUGUCGGAUCAUUUUGGUGGAAGUGACAAAAGUAGUAUUGUACAGAAGGCAAGGAAAAAUGUAUCUGGG